RNAcentral lists this ribosomal RNA (496 nucleotides) under uncultured bacterium. RNAcentral's name for it is "bacterial SSU rRNA". It matches the Rfam family "Bacterial small subunit ribosomal RNA", at positions 26 to 518 of the family's 1533-position model. The record is from RNAcentral.
AGGACGAACGCUGGCGGCGUGCCUAACACAUGCAAGUCGAACGGAGUUAUUUGAUUGAUUCCUUCGGGAUGAUUGAUUUUAACUUAGUGGCGGACGGGUGAGUAACGCGUGAGUAACCUGCCUUUGAGAGGGGGAUAACGUUCUGAAAAGAACGCUAAUACCGCAUGACAUAUCGAAGCCGCAUGACUUUGAUAUCAAAGAUUUAUCGCUCAAAGAUGGACUCGCGUCCGAUUAGUUAGUUGGUGAGGUAACGGCUCACCAAGACCGCGAUCGGUAGCCGGACUGAGAGGUUGAACGGCCACAUUGGGACUGAGACACGGCCCAGACUCCUACGGGAGGCAGCAGUGGGGGAUAUUGCGCAAUGGGGGCAACCCUGAACCGCAGCAACGCCGCGUGAAUGAAGAAGGUCUUCGGAUUGUAAAGUUCUUUAAUUGGUGAAGAAAGAAAUGACGGUAGCCAAAGAAUAAGCCACGACUAACUACGUGCCAGCAGCUGC